This is a non-coding RNA of Caenorhabditis elegans, 150 nucleotides long. Lineage: Eukaryota; Metazoa; Nematoda; Chromadorea; Rhabditida; Rhabditidae. The record is from Ensembl.
ACUGCCAACAUAAUGGAACGGGAGUUGUUGAGAACUUCGACGCUUUCUGUGUAUGGGUUGUAACGAACAAUGAAGGGACGUUUCAUGUUGUUGGUGAACAUUCUGAAAUAUUGAAUAGGUUAAACAGAAAAUUGUGAUUAGCUGAAUGUU